RNAcentral lists this ribosomal RNA (492 nucleotides) under uncultured bacterium. RNAcentral's name for it is "partial 16S ribosomal RNA". It matches the Rfam family "Bacterial small subunit ribosomal RNA", at positions 29 to 507 of the family's 1533-position model. The record is from RNAcentral.
AGUGAACGCUGGCGGUAGGCCUAACACAUGCAAGUCGAACGGCAGCACAGUAAGAGCUUGCUCUUACGGGUGGCGAGUGGCGGACGGGUGAGGAAUACAUCGGAAUCUACUUUUUCGUGGGGGAUAACGUAGGGAAACUUACGCUAAUACCGCAUACGACCUACGGGUGAAAGCAGUGGAUCUUCGGACCUUGCGCGAUUGAAUGAGCCGAUGUCGGAUUAGCUAGUUGGCGGGGUAAAGGCCCACCAAGGCGACGAUCCGUAGCUGGUCUGAGAGGAUGAUCAGCCACACUGGAACUGAGACACGGUCCAGACUCCUACGGGAGGCAGCAGUGGGGAAUAUUGGACAAUGGGCGCAAGCCUGAUCCAGCCAUACCGCGUGGGUGAAGAAGGCCUUCGGGUUGUAAAGCCCUUUUGUUGGGAAAGAAAAGCAGCAUGUUAAUACCCCGCUGUUCUGACGGUACCCAAAGAAUAAGCACCGGCUAACUUCGUG